Non-coding RNA from Phrynosoma platyrhinos (Desert horned lizard), 75 nucleotides. The record is from the annotation of a GenBank genome assembly. Lineage: Eukaryota; Metazoa; Chordata; Lepidosauria; Squamata; Phrynosomatidae.
AGAAGGGUGGCAUAGUGGUUUGAGUGUCGUUGGACUACGACUCUGGAGACCCGGGUUCAAUUCCCUGCUCAGCCG